This is a long non-coding RNA of Oncorhynchus nerka (sockeye salmon), 1458 nucleotides long. RefSeq lists it as uncharacterized. NCBI's taxonomy places the organism in Eukaryota, Metazoa, Chordata, Actinopteri, Salmoniformes, Salmonidae. The record is from RefSeq and is a predicted model, not a curated record. The transcript has 2 exons.
UGAAAAAGCAGAAUAAACAGGGGUUAUACACAGCCGGAGUUUGGCUUUCGGAAGCAAAAAAGAGAAUGGGACGCGCCGAAAAAGAGAUUAAAUUUAACAAGGUUCGAGAGACACUACCCACCGUUCCCGCAGAUAGAGAAGUUAACCAAUUGGGUGGGCGUGAGGGUAACAAACUAUAUCUUCCUCGAUUAUACCAACAAUGCAGAGAUAAUCCAGUCGACGAAUUUGUGAUUAUAAGAAUACGGCUGCUGGAGCAACCCAAGUCGAGAAAAAUGAACAAGAGUUUAUGCACUACAGGUGAACUACAGGUGAAGACACUCAAUCCAGUCCCGUGGGCCACCCGGAUUCAUAUCGCACUGCGGGGGGGUAAGAUACAUAUUGCACUAUCGAACAAAUAAACAGUGUUCGAGAGGAGAACUGGAAUUAACAGAAUUCUGGGGGCCAUCUCUCGAAUGAAGUAACCCUCCCUGUCCUGUCACCCCUGUUUUUGUUCAUAGAAGUGAAGAUGUGUCUGGCUCUUGCUAAGUGAUGUGUUCUCGGGGAAAGGGUGGGGUUUCACAUGGAAGCUGUUCGUCUGAGCUGUCUUAUCGUGGGUGACAUAUUCCUGAUACAGCACGUCCUACUAGAUAUGCGGAGAGUGGUAAUUUGACCCAUGGUUUAGACGGUGAGGAUUUUGUUCCAAAAUAGAAGAGAUAUCAGUGCAGGUUCCCAUAUUGAUCGUGGACACAGGUCAUAGCUCACACUGAAAGGGAUGGCUACGUAAACCCAUACACUCAAUUUGGGACCAGGUGGAGUAUAGUAAGGGUUGGCGUUUUGGACUGUGUUCCCGAACAGAGGAAGUAUUGUAUAAAGGUGCGAAUUAAUAAAGGUUGUAAAAAGAAAAAAAAUCCUGAAAGAAGAGUUAUGAUUCUGAUGUAGGUUUAAAAACAGUUGGGAGUUAAGGUUAGAUUUGAUUAAUGAUGGGUGAAGAGUCGGGUAAACAUUUAUAAUAAUAUUUUUGUUUUGUAGAUUUGAAUGUAUAAUAUUUGAUCAAAGGGAGGAUUGAUAGAGGAAAAUAUGGUUGAAAUGACUAAUUAUGUAUACAUUCCAAUCAGAAACUGACUAGUCCAAAUGCUAUAAUGUACUGUACAUGUGAGUUUUCUCUCUUGCUCCCUUUCCCAAUUGUAUAUAAUGUAGUCAGGAGUUAGUAACAAUGAAGGUCUGUUCCUUAGUUCAUUCAGUUGUACAAAUCUCCAGGUGGUGGGACGGGCCAUCUCCAGAUUGUCGGGAAUGUUGAUUUAUGCUGACUGGCCUUGACUUCGUGCUGAUAACGCGAAGGCUCGAGAGCUAGAGGGGCCCUCUGUUUGUGAAAUGGAACGUUUGGAAAACGCUGACGUCAUUUUCAGUUUAUAACCUGUGGAAAUGUGUGUAAGCAUUCAGUACUCUCUUGUAAUAAACGCUGUUACUUUUGGCUUUUAA